RNAcentral lists this ribosomal RNA (63 nucleotides) under Hyaloperonospora cardamines-laciniatae. Its description in RNAcentral is "partial large subunit ribosomal RNA". It matches the Rfam family "Eukaryotic large subunit ribosomal RNA", at positions 1 to 61 of the family's 3401-position model. Lineage: Eukaryota; Oomycota; Peronosporomycetes; Peronosporales; Peronosporaceae. The record is from RNAcentral.
AUGGACCUGAUAUCAGGCAAGAUUACCCGCUGAACUUAAGCAUAUCAUAAAGCGGAGGAAAGG